Toxocara canis (dog roundworm) is the source of this 72-nucleotide transfer RNA. It matches the Rfam family "tRNA". From Rfam's summary of the family: Transfer RNA (tRNA) molecules are approximately 80 nucleotides in length. Their secondary structure includes four short double-helical elements and three loops (D, anti-codon, and T loops). The record is from Rfam. Lineage: Eukaryota; Metazoa; Nematoda; Chromadorea; Rhabditida; Toxocaridae.
CGGGCAGUAGCUAAUCGGUAGAGCUUUCGCCUUAUGCGCGAAAAGACCUGGGUUCAACUCCCGGUUGCUUCG